Long non-coding RNA from Drosophila pseudoobscura, 690 nucleotides. RefSeq lists it as uncharacterized. The transcript has 2 exons. NCBI's taxonomy places the organism in Eukaryota, Metazoa, Arthropoda, Insecta, Diptera, Drosophilidae. The record is from RefSeq and is a predicted model, not a curated record.
UACAUCAUCAUAGCCGUCAUAGCCGUCAAAGCCGUCAAACCCGUCAUCUGCACUGACCUAUGACUCCGUCGACUGGUCGAAGGUGGUGAAAUUAUGGCAUUCACGCUACAAUCGUUUCUUCAUGGGCUUACUUAAAUACAUUAUUGAUUUGCAAAUAGUACGUGGGUAGGCCCUGCCACCAGAACUACCAUUAUCACCUCAUUAAAACUGCUACAGCAAACAAACAGACCAACAAACCCCAGCAGAACGGAGCCCUCCUACAAUUAUGGCCAAAAGUUGUACGAUGCGGCUGAAAUAUAAUCAGUCCUGGCUUCUAUGCUGCACAUAUUAUAUACCAUACCACACAUAAAUACAUAUAUAUGUAUACAUGUGUAAGCACCGAUCAUGCAGUUCUCACCAUAGUAUAUUUGUUCGUUUGUUUGUUUUAAUUAAAAUUACACAACCAUGUCCGUGUCCGUCUCGGUGUCCGUGUCCCUGUUUCAGUCUUUGUUGUGUUCCCUGGCAUCCCGUCCUCCGUCUGGCUCUCUGUCCGUUUAUUUUCCUGCUGUUUUAAUGCUUUUUUAGUAAAUAAUUUAUAUUCAAUUUUCAAAUAAAUUACAAACAAAAAUAGUUAGCAAACAAUCUCCAACGACAAUGGGCUGCAUCACAUUCAAUUGAGAUGCAAAAAUAAACCAUUAAAACACAAUGCAA